Molecule: ribosomal RNA, 463 nt
Filed under: uncultured bacterium
Lineage: Bacteria
Description: partial 16S ribosomal RNA
Rfam family: Bacterial small subunit ribosomal RNA
Source: RNAcentral
GACGAACGCUGGCGGCACGCCUAACACAUGCAAGUCGAACGGACUUACAAGAGCUUGCUUUUUUAAGUUAGUGGCGGACGGGUGAGUAACACGUGAGCAACCUGCCUCUGAGAGGGGGAUAGCUUCUGGAAACGGAUGGUAAUACCCCAUAAAAUAUAAAUAUCGCAUGAUAGAUAUAUCAAAGAAAUUCGCUCAGAGAUGGGCUCGCGUCUGAUUAGCUUGUUGGUGAGGUAACGGCUCACCAAGUCGACGAUCAGUAGCCGGACUGAGAGGUUGAACGGCCACAAUGGGACUGAGACACGGCCCAGAAUCCUACGGGAGGGAGCAGUGGGGAAUAUUGCACAAUGGAGGGAACUCUGAUGCAGCGAUGCCGCGUGGAGGAAGAAGGUUUUCGGAUUGUAAACUCCUUUUAUCAGGGACGAUAAUGACGGUACCUGAAGAAAAAGCACCGGCUAACUACGUG